Pantherophis guttatus is the source of this 808-nucleotide long non-coding RNA. RefSeq lists it as uncharacterized. NCBI's taxonomy places the organism in Eukaryota, Metazoa, Chordata, Lepidosauria, Squamata, Colubridae. The record is from RefSeq and is a predicted model, not a curated record.
CACAUCUAUGCCCUCUUGUGGCUGUCAUGUAAAUCAAAGAGCACUUCUAUCCGUGCAAGGAAGAGGGAUGUUUUCUUUGCUCUUUAUGGGGUGAAGAAGAUCCUUGCAUUAACUCCAGAACUUUUCAUCUCUCUCUCUCUCUCUCUCUGUCACUCUCUCGCAUUUUGAAGACAAACUGUGCAAGUUUCAUCCUUAAGAUAUUUGGAAUCGAAAAGGUGUGGUGUGCAAAUUCCUGGAUCCUAAUCAAUUUCAUCAUCUUGAAACCGGACAGACAUGAACAUUAUUUUGAAAGGUGUCCAACGUUUCAAAAGCCGGAUACCAAACAGGAAACUACAAAUGUGUUUAACACAACCACAUCUUACUGACAAAAAUCAAUCUAUUUUUGUUUGGAUUCCUGAAGAUUUCAGCCUCUGCGUGCGAUGAUAAAUCUAUCACAGUAGGCAUUGAUGGACUGCCUUUUACAAUUGUGAAGAUGAUGGAUUGAAAGGAUACUUUGGAAGAGCAGGAACAAAGAGGGGAAGAAAUAAAAUGGAUUGGAUGUUUGUGCAAAGCUGCAAGUGGAAUUGGGUAGAAGGAGAUAUGAGACAGAAGAAAUAAAGCUGGGGUGAACUGCGAGGGGAAAUGUGAAGGCCUAUGAUACCAAAACCAUCAAAAUGAUUCCAGUUUUCUCUUUUAUUUCAACUGCCUCCUUCCCAGCUCAUAAACAAAGCCAAGCUGGGAAGAUUGCAAAUGGGAAUCACGUGACCCCAGGACAAUCCAACUGUCAUAAAGGCAUGCCAAAUUUUGAUCAUGUGACCCUGAGGUCACA